GUACCUUUUGCAUCAGGGUGUUCUUAGAUAAUUAUUGAUAAUGUCAUUGUUCCCGAUAAAGAUAAAGUUAUCAUCUUUGGGUGUAUGUGUUGUUGCAAAACCACAUUUAACUAGUUGAUAAAGGCUAUAUACUAAAUUGCCAUCUUAGGUAUCUGGUUAGUCCAAAAAGAUGUUUAGCAUUGAACUUCAUUUGAAGGUAUUAAGAUGUGUUGGCUAAGCAGUACAUCGUUUUAAUGAGUUAUAAUAGAAAUUUUAGCAUAUAUGUACCUCUAAUAGUGUGGAUCUAUAGUGUUUUUUAACUAGAUGUUUGUAAUAAAAAAAUAUUUAUAUCUAGCUCAUUUGUGAAAUGGAUUUAUGAUCUAUUGGUCAAUAAUAAUGGGGUAAUAAGUAAAAAUUAAAGGCAGAGCUUAUAAGUGUGUGUUUGGUUAGUAUAAGAUAAGUUUUAUAUUUUAUUUUUAUUGCUUGUAUUGAAUUCGGCAAAUUAGUUUCUCGACUGUUUAACAAAAACAUUUCUUUUUGAAUUUAUAAAAAGUAUGCCCUGCUCGGUGCUCUGAGGGGUAAACAGCGGCCUUAGCGUGAGGGUCCAAAGGUAGCGUAAUAGAUUGCCCUUUUAUUGGGGGCUGGUAUGAAAGGGUUAACGUGGGAAUGGCUGUAAUAUAAGUAGAAAUUGAAGUUAACUUGGUAGUGAAAAGGCUUUCAUUUUUAAGAAGGACGACAAGACCCUAGAAGCUUUAUGUUUGUAUUAUAAUGCUUAUAGUAUAAAGAUUUUGUUGGGGCAACAGGGGGAAAAUAUCUCAUCUAUUUAUGUUAAAAUAUUAUUUUAGUUAAUGUUACUUACUAGUUGUAGCCGUGAAUUAGCGAGUAUGAUUAAGUUACUCUAGGGAUAACAGCGUAAUUUCUUUGGCGAGUUCUUAUCAAUAAAGAAGAUUGCGACCUCGAUGUUGGCUUAAGGUAUCCUUUAGGUGCAGGCGCUUAAAAAGGUUGGUCUGUUCGCCCAUUAAAACCUUACAUGAGCUGAGUUCAGACCGGCGUGAGCUAGGUCAGUUUCUAUCUUCUUAUUUUAAAUGUAAGUGAAUCGGUACGCAAGGAAAAUUUA
RNAcentral lists this ribosomal RNA (1096 nucleotides) under Limnoperna fortunei. Its description in RNAcentral is "large subunit ribosomal RNA". The stretch from base 369 to 1096 matches the Rfam family "Archaeal large subunit ribosomal RNA", at positions 1423 to 2768 of the family's 2987-position model. Lineage: Eukaryota; Metazoa; Mollusca; Bivalvia; Mytilida; Modiolidae. The record is from RNAcentral.